This is a non-coding RNA of Pristionchus pacificus, 61 nucleotides long. Lineage: Eukaryota; Metazoa; Nematoda; Chromadorea; Rhabditida; Neodiplogasteridae. The record is from Rfam.
UCUUCAUUUCACACACUCUCUCACAAGUCCGCUAGGUGGGAGAGUGUGUGAAAUGAAGAGA